This 77-nucleotide transfer RNA is filed under the name Candidatus Altimarinota bacterium. RNAcentral's name for it is "tRNA-Asp". It matches the Rfam family "tRNA". From Rfam's summary of the family: Transfer RNA (tRNA) molecules are approximately 80 nucleotides in length. Lineage: Bacteria; Candidatus Altimarinota. The record is from RNAcentral.
GGGGGUGUAGCUCAGUUGGCUAGAGCGCGGCACUGUCACUGCCGAGGUCGCGGGUUCGAGCCCCGUCGCUCCCGCCA